GACGAACGCUGGCGGCGUGCUUAACACAUGCAAGUCGAACGGAAAGGCCCUGCUUUUGUGGGGUGCUCGAGUGGCGAACGGGUGAGUAACACGUGAGUAACCUGCCCUUGACUUUGGGAUAACUUCAGGAAACUGGGGCUAAUACCGGAUAGGAGCUCCUGCUGCAUGGUGGGGGUUGGAAAGUUUCGGCGGUUGGGGAUGGACUCGCGGCUUAUCAGCUUGUUGGUGGGGUAGUGGCUUACCAAGGCUUUGACGGGUAGCCGGCCUGAGAGGGUGACCGGCAACAGGGGGAAGGAGAAACGGCCCGGACGCAGACGGGAGGAAGAGGGGGGGAAUAGGGAAAAAGGGGGGGAGGCUGGAAGCAGCAACGCCGGGGGGGGGAGGAGGGCCUGCGGGUGUAAAACAGCUUGCGCCGGGGACGAAGGGGGAGGGAGGGUAGGGGAAAAAGAAAAACCGACAAACUACGGC
This 468-nucleotide ribosomal RNA is filed under the name uncultured bacterium. RNAcentral describes it as "partial 16S ribosomal RNA". The stretch from base 13 to 373 matches the Rfam family "Bacterial small subunit ribosomal RNA", at positions 40 to 399 of the family's 1533-position model. The record is from RNAcentral.